CUCCUACGGGAGGCAGCAGUGGGGAAUAUUGGACAAUGGGCGAAAGCCUGAUCCAGCCAUGCCGCGUGUGUGAAGAAGGUCUUCGGAUUGUAAAGCACUUUAAGUUGGGAGGAAGGGUUGUAGAUUAAUACUCUGCAAUUUUGACGUUACCGACAGAAUAAGCACCGGCUAACUCUGUGCCAGCAGCCGCGGUAAUACAGAGGGUGCGAGCGUUAAUCGGAAUUACUGGGCGUAAAGCGAGUGUAGGUGGCUCAUUAAGUCACAUGUGAAAUCCCCGGGCUUAACCUGGGAACUGCAUGUGAUACUGGUGGUGCUAGAAUAUGUGAGAGGGAAGUAGAAUUCCAGGUGUAGCGGUGAAAUGCGUAGAGAUCUGGAGGAAUACCGAUGGCGAAGGCAGCUUCCUGGCAUAAUAUUGACACUGAGAUUCGAAAGCGUGGGUAGCAAACAGGAUUAGAUACCCUGGUAGUCCACGCCGUAAACGAUGAGUGCUAAGUGUUGGAGGGUUUCCGCCCUUCAGUGCUGCAGCUAACGCAUUAAGCACUCCGCCUGGGGAGUACGACCGCAAGGUUGAAACUCAAAGGAAUUGACGGGGGCCCGCACAAGCGGUGGAGCAUGUGGUUUAAUUCGAAGCAACGCGAAGAACCUUACCAGGUCUUGACAUCCUUUGACCACUCUAGAGAUAGAGCUUCCCCUUCGGGGGCAAAGUGACAGGUGGUGCAUGGUUGUCGUCAGCUCGUGUCGUGAGAUGUUGGGUUAAGUCCCGCAACGAGCGCAACCCUUAUUGUUAGUUGCCAUCAUUUAGUUGGGCACUCUAGCAAGACUGCCGGUGACAAACCGGAGGAAGGUGGGGAUGACGUCAAAUCAUCAUGCCCCUUAUGACCUGGGCUACACACGUGCUACAAUGGGAAGUACAACGAGUCGCGAAGUCGCGAGGCUAAGCUAAUCUCUUAAAGCUUCUCUCAGUUCGGAUUGUAGGCUGCAACUCGCCUACAUGAAGCCGGAAUCGCUAGUAAUCGCGGAUCAGCACGCCGCGGUGAAUACGUUCCCGGGCCUUGUACACACCGCCCGU
Molecule: ribosomal RNA, 1069 nt
Filed under: uncultured Lactobacillales bacterium
Lineage: Bacteria; Bacillati; Bacillota; Bacilli; Lactobacillales
Description: bacterial SSU rRNA
Rfam family: Bacterial small subunit ribosomal RNA
Source: RNAcentral